CGGAGGGAUCAUUACCGAGUUUA
RNAcentral lists this ribosomal RNA (23 nucleotides) under Fusarium sp. NRRL 25623. RNAcentral describes it as "partial 18S ribosomal RNA". Lineage: Eukaryota; Fungi; Ascomycota; Sordariomycetes; Hypocreales; Nectriaceae. The record is from RNAcentral.